AUAUUAAUAACCCCAAAAACACUCACAUAAACAAAUUAAACCAUUCUACCUCCUAAGUAUGGGCGACAAAAAAGAAAACACCUUUAGAGCCAUAGAAAAAGUACCGCAAGGGAACGCUGAAAAAGAAAUGAAAUAAACCAGUAAAGUUAAAAAAAGCAGAGACUUAUUCUCGUACCUUUUGCAUCAUGAAUUAGUCAGUAAAAUUAAGCAAAAAGUAUUUUAGUUUAAUACCCCGAAACUAAGGGAGCUACUCCAAGAUGGCCUAAAAGAAGGGCUAACCCGUCUCUGUGGCAAAAGAGUGGGAUGAGCUUAGAGUAGAGGUGACAGACCUACCGAACUUAGUUAUAGCUGGUUACUUAAGAAAUGGAUAAAAGUUCAGCUUUUUGAUUUCUUCCCUCUAAUUUUGCUUCAGCUUUCAACUGAUUUAAAGAAAUCAAAAAAGUUAAUUAAAAGGGGUACAGCCCUUUUAAAAAAGACACAACUUCAUCGGAUGGGUGCAGAUCAUAUUUAUUAAGGCAGAAUAUUUUAGUGGGCCUAAAAGCAGCCAUCUAUUAGAAAGCGUUAAAGCUCCUUUGUACUACCACCCAUUAAUUCAGAUAAUACAUCUAAACCCGCCAACCCUAUUAAGUCGUCUCAUAUUGUAUGAGAGUGAUUAUGCUAAUAUGAGUAAUAAGAAAACAGACUUUCUCCUUGCACUUGUGUAAAUCGAAACGGACUCUCCAUCGAACCUUAAUACGGCCCCAAAAAAAGAGGGUAAUGAACCAUAACUAUGAUAACAAGAAAAACACCCAAAAACAACCGUUAACCCCACACUGGUGUGCUUACUAGGAAAGACUAAAAGAAAAAGAAGGAACUCGGCAAACAUAAACCUCGCCUGUUUACCAAAAACACCGCCUCUUGCAAACAAAGAAUAAGAGGUCC
RNAcentral lists this ribosomal RNA (921 nucleotides) under Betta bellica (slender betta). RNAcentral describes it as "partial 16S ribosomal RNA". The stretch from base 154 to 921 matches the Rfam family "Bacterial large subunit ribosomal RNA", at positions 568 to 1846 of the family's 2925-position model. Lineage: Eukaryota; Metazoa; Chordata; Actinopteri; Anabantiformes; Osphronemidae. The record is from RNAcentral.